Non-coding RNA from Phrynosoma platyrhinos (Desert horned lizard), 73 nucleotides. The record is from the annotation of a GenBank genome assembly. NCBI's taxonomy places the organism in Eukaryota, Metazoa, Chordata, Lepidosauria, Squamata, Phrynosomatidae.
AGCCAGCGUGACUCAGUGGUUUGGGUGUUGGACUAUGACUCUUGAGACCAGGGUUCGAAUCCUGGCUCGGCUA